RNAcentral lists this ribosomal RNA (430 nucleotides) under uncultured bacterium. RNAcentral describes it as "partial 16S ribosomal RNA". It matches the Rfam family "Bacterial small subunit ribosomal RNA", at positions 354 to 796 of the family's 1533-position model. The record is from RNAcentral.
GUGGGGAAUAUUGCACAAUGGGCGAAAGCCUGAUGCAGCAACGCCGCGUGAGGGACGACGGCCUUCGGGUUGUAAACCUCUUUUAGUAGGGAAGAAGCGAAAGUGACGGUACCUGCAGAAAAAGCACCGGCUAACUACGUGCCAGCAGCCGCGGUAAUACGUAGGGUGUAAGCGUUAUCCGGAAUUAUUGGGCGUAAAGAGCUCGUAGGCGGUCUGUCGCGUCUGCUGUGAAAACUGGAGGCUCAACCUCCAGCCUGCAGUGGGUACGGGCAGACUAGAGUGCGGUAGGGGAGAUUGGAAUUCCUGGUGUAGCGGUGGAAUGCGCAGAUAUCAGGAGGAACACCGAUGGCGAAGGCAGAUCUCUGGGCCGUAACUGACGCUGAGGAGCGAAAGCGUGGGGAGCGAACAGGAUUAGAAACCCCGGUAGUCC